GAUCCGCUGGAUGGCCCUCGCAUUGGCCUGGGACUGGGAGACGCAGACGGUCAGGACAAGGCUUUGGACAGACAGGAAGCCAAGAUCCCAUGAGAGUGUCUGGGGGUGCUCAUCGAAGGGCGGACGCCCUCCCAGAUGUGCCCCCUCUUGGCCCCUGCUGCCCUGAGAGGCACCUGAGCAGGAUGAGGACGGGGAAGCUGAAGGCGUGGGAGCCCAGGUAGCGGAGGGCGCGCUGGCCAGAGGGCGGGAGCCGGAGGGCCAUCAGCUCUGGGACCACCUGCCAGGGGGCCGCGUAGUUGG
Molecule: long non-coding RNA, 300 nt
Organism: Lynx canadensis (Canada lynx)
Lineage: Eukaryota; Metazoa; Chordata; Mammalia; Carnivora; Felidae
Exons: 2
Source: RefSeq, a predicted model, not a curated record